UACGUAGGCAGCAAGCGUUGUUCGGAAUUACUGGGCGUAAAGAGUGUGUAGGCGGUGCUCUAAGUUUGGUGUGAAAUCUCCCGGCUCAACUGGGAGGGUGCGCCGAAAACUGGAAUGCUUGAACAUGGGAGAGGAAAGCGGAAUUCCUGGUGUAGCGGUGAAAUGCGUAGAUAUCAGGAGGAACACCUGCGGUGUAGACGGCUUUCUGGACCAUUGUUGACGCUGAGGCACGAAAGCGUGGGUAGCAAACAGG
This 253-nucleotide ribosomal RNA is filed under the name uncultured bacterium. RNAcentral's name for it is "partial 16S ribosomal RNA". It matches the Rfam family "Bacterial small subunit ribosomal RNA", at positions 524 to 776 of the family's 1533-position model. The record is from RNAcentral.